This 110-nucleotide transfer RNA is filed under the name Cercophora newfieldiana. It matches the Rfam family "tRNA". Rfam says of the family: Transfer RNA (tRNA) molecules are approximately 80 nucleotides in length. Their secondary structure includes four short double-helical elements and three loops (D, anti-codon, and T loops). The record is from Rfam by way of RNAcentral. Lineage: Eukaryota; Fungi; Ascomycota; Sordariomycetes; Sordariales; Lasiosphaeriaceae.
GGCGAGAUGGCCGAGCGGUCUAAGGCGCUACGUUAAGGAGUUCCUUAAUAACAUCAUCUUGAAUGAUUCCGUAGUCCGAAAGGGCGUGGGUUCGAAUCCCACUCUCGUCA